UGGGGCCUAAAUAUCUGGGGGAACUAUGUUACUUCAACAUGUUGCUCUAAAUCCAUUGACAUGUUUUAUGAAUCUAUUGGUAUUUGCCUACUUUUCAUUUCACUGAUGGGAAUUUGAACUACCUAAUUCGAGCAUGCUGGACUCAAAACUGCAAGGACUGAACUAUGACAUUCAUAUGGCCCAUGGCAUGCUGUUUCCCUUACUGUGAUUCAGCUGCCUGUCUUUUUAGUUUUCCAACAGCGCACAUAUGUUCAGUUACUGUAAGUAUUCCAGGAGAUCAGGACAUUGUCACUGUUGGAUGGAUGCUCUCAAUUUCCACGUGAGAUACCUAUUCGAUAGUUUUACUGUACCUCCUCCUAAUUAUGGAAUUUACAGUUCAUGUAAUUAUCUUCUAUGCUUUGGCUUGUUGACAGUUCGUACUCCUAUGCUGUAAUCAUACUGUUAUAUGAUCUAUGAAGCACUUGCUCCUCUUGCUUACCAAAAAAAAGAAAAAAGAGGACUUUUAUGUACACUAUCGUGAUUCUAGUGGUUGUGAUCCACAAGAUAGUAUACACUUGUGAACAAAACUCAUAUACGAGAAGUCUCUUGCUUAUACAGGACAAAGUCUCAAAUUAUUGGAUACAGUGGUACGAUGCAGUAUGUUUUUGGGCAAAUUUACAAACUUCUGCUAACUAGUUAUUCAACUGAUUUAUAAAUAUACUAAUGAUGCUAACAUUUGUCAACAGAUUGAUCUUUCAGAUAUGAAUUUUCAAGCCUUACGACCUUCCGUCAUUCAUUAUGGACAAGAACAACUUGAAAUUCUCACCGACGGUUUCACAAACCAAAUAGGGCACGGUGGAUCCGGAAGAGUAUACAAAGGUAAAGCACUCGACAGUGAAAUGGCAAUUGCUGUCAAGUGUCUAAAAGAAGGAGAAAUAUAUACC
RNAcentral lists this long non-coding RNA (923 nucleotides) under Elaeis guineensis (African oil palm). Its description in RNAcentral is "long non-coding RNA (EGUI_LNC035814)". The record is from RNAcentral. Lineage: Eukaryota; Viridiplantae; Streptophyta; Magnoliopsida; Arecales; Arecaceae.